AAAAAACAUAAUAAUUAACUCAUAUAUACCUUGAAUAUGGCAAGGAGUAUCUACCAGAAACCAAUAUGAAAAUUUCUGACUAUGAGUAAAAUAUGCU
Molecule: non-coding RNA, 97 nt
Filed under: Clostridium ihumii
Lineage: Bacteria; Bacillati; Bacillota; Clostridia; Eubacteriales; Clostridiaceae
Description: Purine riboswitch
Rfam family: Purine riboswitch aptamer
About the family: Riboswitches are metabolite binding domains within certain messenger RNAs that serve as precision sensors for their corresponding targets.
Source: RNAcentral